AUCUUGUGUCCUAAUUUUAACAAAAAUUUUAACAAAACUUUGUUCUGCCCAUGGUGCAGUCAGGGGACAAAGGAAGAGUGAGCACAGUAAGAGCAGAGGGGCCAGAUCAUCCUGGAGCAAAACCUGAGUGGGCUUGGAAGUUUUGUUACUUCUGAGGGGCUCUGAGGCAGCAAGAUCCUCAGUUGCCUGCUCAGUAAUUGUGGAGCUGCUCUGCUUCCUUCAGAUGGAAUGGAUAAUCCUUCCCAACUCCAAGCACCUUGUUCCAGACCUUUCCCCCUGCCAUGAGUGGAGAGGAGACAUGUGGCUCCUGCUUGAGGAAAGCAGAAGAGGCAUUUCCAUCCUGAAGGCAAUGGCUGGAAGGGCUGCCUGGGCUCUGACCUGCUGCAGGAUUCUCUACAUGGAUACCAGCGAGUGAUUCCAGGUGACCCUGGGCCAUGAUGCCAGGAGGGAUUUGGGCUUGGAGCAGACCUGGAGGAUGUCAUGUUCCCCUUUGGAUGGCCAGAAAACCCCAGCAGACCACAGGUUUGCCACCAGGUCUGCUGGUGAAGAAGGAAGCUUUCAAACCAUGGAAGCCUAGAAAACAGAAGGAAACAAACACCUGGGACCAAUUAAAACAUCUCCAGCAAGCCACCAGGGUUUGGGGACAUUCCCAAUGCUUCAGUGCACGUGGCUGGC
RNAcentral lists this long non-coding RNA (675 nucleotides) under Serinus canaria (Common canary). RNAcentral describes it as "lncRNA (ENSSCAG00000009726.1)". The record is from RNAcentral. Lineage: Eukaryota; Metazoa; Chordata; Aves; Passeriformes; Fringillidae.